RNAcentral lists this ribosomal RNA (1763 nucleotides) under Escherichia coli. RNAcentral's name for it is "partial 23S ribosomal RNA". It matches the Rfam family "Bacterial large subunit ribosomal RNA", at positions 419 to 2167 of the family's 2925-position model. Lineage: Bacteria; Pseudomonadati; Pseudomonadota; Gammaproteobacteria; Enterobacterales; Enterobacteriaceae. The record is from RNAcentral.
GGGACACGUGGUAUCCUGUCUGAAUAUGGGGGGACCAUCCUCCAAGGCUAAAUACUCCUGACUGACCGAUAGUGAACCAGUACCGUGAGGGAAAGGCGAAAAGAACCCCGGCGAGGGGAGUGAAAAAGAACCUGAAACCGUGUACGUACAAGCAGUGGGAGCACGCUUAGGCGUGUGACUGCGUACCUUUUGUAUAAUGGGUCAGCGACUUAUAUUCUGUAGCAAGGUUAACCGAAUAGGGGAGCCGAAGGGAAACCGAGUCUUAACUGGGCGUUAAGUUGCAGGGUAUAGACCCGAAACCCGGUGAUCUAGCCAUGGGCAGGUUGAAGGUUGGGUAACACUAACUGGAGGACCGAACCGACUAAUGUUGAAAAAUUAGCGGAUGACUUGUGGCUGGGGGUGAAAGGCCAAUCAAACCGGGAGAUAGCUGGUUCUCCCCGAAAGCUAUUUAGGUAGCGCCUCGUGAAUUCAUCUCCGGGGGUAGAGCACUGUUUCGGCAAGGGGGUCAUCCCGACUUACCAACCCGAUGCAAACUGCGAAUACCGGAGAAUGUUAUCACGGGAGACACACGGCGGGUGCUAACGUCCGUCGUGAAGAGGGAAACAACCCAGACCGCCAGCUAAGGUCCCAAAGUCAUGGUUAAGUGGGAAACGAUGUGGGAAGGCCCAGACAGCCAGGAUGUUGGCUUAGAAGCAGCCAUCAUUUAAAGAAAGCGUAAUAGCUCACUGGUCGAGUCGGCCUGCGCGGAAGAUGUAACGGGGCUAAACCAUGCACCGAAGCUGCGGCAGCGACGCUUAUGCGUUGUUGGGUAGGGGAGCGUUCUGUAAGCCUGCGAAGGUGUGCUGUGAGGCAUGCUGGAGGUAUCAGAAGUGCGAAUGCUGACAUAAGUAACGAUAAAGCGGGUGAAAAGCCCGCUCGCCGGAAGACCAAGGGUUCCUGUCCAACGUUAAUCGGGGCAGGGUGAGUCGACCCCUAAGGCGAGGCCGAAAGGCGUAGUCGAUGGGAAACAGGUUAAUAUUCCUGUACUUGGUGUUACUGCGAAGGGGGGACGGAGAAGGCUAUGUUGGCCGGGCGACGGUUGUCCCGGUUUAAGCGUGUAGGCUGGUUUUCCAGGCAAAUCCGGAAAAUCAAGGCUGAGGCGUGAUGACGAGGCACUACGGUGCUGAAGCAACAAAUGCCCUGCUUCCAGGAAAAGCCUCUAAGCAUCAGGUAACAUCAAAUCGUACCCCAAACCGACACAGGUGGUCAGGUAGAGAAUACCAAGGCGCUUGAGAGAACUCGGGUGAAGGAACUAGGCAAAAUGGUGCCGUAACUUCGGGAGAAGGCACGCUGAUAUGUAGGUGAAGUCCCUCGCGGAUGGAGCUGAAAUCAGUCGAAGAUACCAGCUGGCUGCAACUGUUUAUUAAAAACACAGCACUGUGCAAACACGAAAGUGGACGUAUACGGUGUGACGCCUGCCCGGUGCCGGAAGGUUAAUUGAUGGGGUCAGCGCAAGCGAAGCUCUUGAUCGAAGCCCCGGUAAACGGCGGCCGUAACUAUAACGGUCCUAAGGUAGCGAAAUUCCUUGUCGGGUAAGUUCCGACCUGCACGAAUGGCGUAAUGAUGGCCAGGCUGUCUCCACCCGAGACUCAGUGAAAUUGAACUCGCUGUGAAGAUGCAGUGUACCCGCGGCAAGACGGAAAGACCCCGUGAACCUUUACUAUAGCUUGACACUGAACAUUGAGCCUUGAUGUGUAGGAUAGGUGGGAGGCUUUGAAGUGUGG